GACGAACGCUGGCGGCGUGCUUAACACAUGCAAGUCGAGCGGUAAGGCCCUUUCGGGGGUACACGAGCGGCGAACGGGUGAGUAACACGUGGGUGACCUGCCCUCAGCUCUGGGAUAAGCCUGGGAAACCGGGUCUAAUACUGGAUAUGACUCCAUGACGCAUGUUGGUGGGGUGGAAAGCCUUGUGCGGCUGAGGAUGGGCCCGCGGCCUAUCAGCUUGUUGGUGGGGUGAGGCCUACCAAGGCGACGACGGGUAGCCGGCCUGAGAGGGCGACCGGCCACACUGGGACUGAGACACGGCCCAGACUCCUACGGGAGGCAGCAGUGGGGAAUCUUGCGCAAUGGGCGAAAGCCUGACGCAGCGACGCCGCGUGAGGGA
This 379-nucleotide ribosomal RNA is filed under the name uncultured bacterium. RNAcentral describes it as "bacterial SSU rRNA". It matches the Rfam family "Bacterial small subunit ribosomal RNA", at positions 28 to 408 of the family's 1533-position model. The record is from RNAcentral.